UAUUUAUAAUAUAAUCAUAGGUGUAGAUUUUCGAGUAUUAAAAUUAAUCCUUUCUUUGAUCACAGUCAGAAGUAGAAAUGAGUCUACGGAGUUUGAUAGACCAAGUUGCCAAGAAUAGCAUAAUCUCGCGUCUCUCUGCGUUCGAAUUCGGGGAAUUUUGAAUCGAUCGAAAUGGGGUGAGAUUUGUGGUCGUAGAAAUGGCGCGGGAGGGUGGGAAAAUUCCGUGAUUCGAUCGGCCAUCCUUCUAGGCGUCCCUUCUCUCGAUUAGCUCGGUUGACGAGGAGAAACUUGGGCACUUCAAUCCGCCGAGUAAUUGGCCUAAGGAAAAAGCCGGAAAGUUAAAUUACAUUUACUUGUUAAUAUCAAAUUAAUCACCACUUUUAAUUCGCCAAGUUGGAGACUCGCUCCCGUAAGAUUAACACAAUCGCGGAACUCGGCGGUGCCGCGAAAAUCCUCGAUAUAUUUCAGAAAUGAGAGAAACUCGCGCUUUUUUCUCAUAUUUUUUUCGAUGAUCCCGUAUUGCUUUUUUUUUCUCAUCGCGAUCGCUUUUAAAUUCAGCCUCGGUUGCGUAAGGGGGGGUUAAGGGAGAAAGCGGAGAAGCAGAGAUUCGGUGGGACUCUCGGAUUGAACGGCAUUCAUAAAAAAAUGGAAGCUCCCUGACGAGUUUCCGAGAUGCGCGCGUGGUCCAGUUUCUCUUUUUAUUUUUUUCUUUUCCUUUUGCUUUUCAGUUGUUUCUCGAUCGUUAAUUCGUCGGAUUAUCGCAAAAAAACGGCAAAUCUAAGGAGAUUACGUUAAACAGAGAAUUAAAAGGCGGAGUUAAAUCGCGCCGCUUUCCACAUAUCUCGUGUAAAUACGCGGCUCUCGGAGAAUCGGAACUUUGAAGAAAGAACAUCUUUGACCGGGUUGCAUUAAGAUAAUAUUGACGGAGAUAAAAGGCACUUCGCACUCCGUUUGGCAAGAUCAAGCCCUUUGAAAAGCUAAAACACCCAGUCGACACGCUUUCUUGAUGUUCGACCCGUCGGUAUAAUUCACGCGGGAUUAAUCAGGGGGUCGCUCGUUCUUUUCCACCGCGGCUCUUUAAGGGAGAAAUUCAAGCGACUUCGCCGAUCGGCAUAUUUCGCGAACGGAAGCCUGCGAACUGUCGUGAAUUAAAAAGCAGACGAGAAGAUUAGAGAUUCUGAUUAGAUAAUAUUAACGGCAUCCACUUUUUGCCAUCUCCUUCCGCAGGGCAGGAUAUCCUGGACUUACACGGUCGUUACACAUCCCCGGGGAAGCCGCCUCUCGCGCGCCGUGUUCGGCUCGUCGAACACGGCGAUUUUCCGCAAAGAGCGAUAAGGCCGUUGCGGAAGUGGGCCGCCGUGACACUUCGCCACGGCCGUUGAAUCUCGCCGGAAGUCACGUCGGCGGCGGGUAAAUGAGGCGUGCACCCCGCACUAUAGAACUCGAACGAUCAGCGCCAGGCCUGGAACGAGCCAAUUCGCGUGGCUGUACACAACCGCUUACACGAGAUUAUCGCCGCGAUUUCACGACCGGGAAUUUUCCCCCAAGAAUUCCAUGGACGGCCGGGAUACCGAUAUUACGGGGCGAUACCGGCUACUUUGAAACCCGAGUCUCUGUAAUCCGAUUUGUUAGGAAUCAGGCUGCCCGACGACGAUAUCUUUGCUCGACGUUGCUCGAUCAACAGAGAGAAGUCGAUCGCCUCGGAAAUGUCUGAAAUGAUUAAUGGUGUCAACGUUGUCGCGAUAAUAUCGCGAUAAUAUCGCGAGGAAAGGCGCCAUCGUUUAUUUCCAAGGUGACGCGAGUCGAGAAUCGAGGAGGGCGGGUGGUGAAAAGGCAAAGCUAGAAAAAUCCUCCGAGGUUUUGCACUGAUUUCGCACAAAAUUAGUCGUAACUCUUAUAUCAAACUGGAUAUUGGUAUUAAAAAUUUUUUUUAAUUGAUAAAUGUCGGAUUAUAAUUUAUUAACAAUCUAAUUGGAUUAUGUGGAUUGAAUAAUUAAUUGUCACUUUAAGUUUGGCGGUUGCAAACGUUGAUCUAGAAAAUCUGUGAAAUAUCUCGUUAUUGUGGAAUUUUCUGAUUUUGUACAAACGCGUAAACGCGUCUUUAUGUAUUUAAAAAUAAUAAUUGACAAAACAAACGAAACAAGCAUGAUCAUCAAGGAAAAAUAAUUAUCUAUCAUUUCUGUAUUAAAUGGCAAUUUUGCCGCGUGAUAUUAAUUUUAAAAAGCUUUGAAAAAUUUCUUAAUCGCAUCGACUACAUUUAAUGGCGGCUUAUUUAAGAGUCAACUUUCCCAUCUUUUCUUCGGUAGAUUCAAAUUUAGAUUUAAGUUUACAGAACGCUUCGCGGCUCUCUAGAUCUUGUUAUAAAAUCUGCUGGGAUUCUGGUGAAGAAUCCUGGAGGAAAGUGUGAAGAAACGAGUUGGACCACUCGCAUUUUAUGCCCUUCUUCUCCUUCCUCGAUUUAAUGUCAUGGUUCGCCAUGAUCGCGAAUCGAUCGCUCGCGAUCGUACUUUUACGAAUUGUCUCUCACGACGAGUCCACGAUAUGUGCCGGCGACUCGUCGGCAGGAAGCAAAAUACUAUCGAUAGUUUCAUGCGUAGUGCGAGAGUGCGCGAGAGCGUCUCAGAUCGUGAAUUGGAGGACGAAGAAUUUGUAGUGAAUCGUUGUCGUCGUCGUCGACAUCCUUUUUAACAUGCGCCCUGAUCGCGUAAGGUAUUGUUAGCCGAGCCGGCGAUCGUCGACGAUCGAGACGCACAUUUCCGUCAAAAAACGUACAUGUAUAGGAGAAUGUUAGAUGUAUAGGAGAAGAUUCCUUCGGCCCUCGUCCGGAUUCGCGCGAUGCUUCUCGCAAACCGUUCGCGUAAACCAAAGGCGAAGAGUCCGAGGAUUCACUUUGGGCGGCGUUAGUUAGCGCGUGCGGUCCGAAAAAAAAAGAGUAGCGCGGUAGUUGGCGAUAAAACUAUGAAAAUUAAUAGUCGAUUAGCCGAUAUAGUUAUUAUCACUAAUUAUUAGUCUCGAGUGAAAGCGAGAAGAGAGAAAGUGAGAGAGAGAGAGAGAGAGAGAGAGAGAGAGAGAGAGAGAGAGAGAGAGGGAAGGUAUCGCACACCUGUCUCUCGUAUAUUGAAUUCUCGAUCGUCAUCGAUCGUCUCGAGCCGUCAGAUUCGUGGAUCCUCGGAUUCUGAAGGCCGUUGCGAGCUCUCGGAAACUUGAGAAACUUUUAGAUUUUUACAUUCUCGAGUCGCGAGAUUUCCGAAUCUUGGAAUCCCCGAGUUCUUGAAUCCCUGAAUUCUGAAAUCUCGAAGGGCGAUACGCUUAGAAAUUAAUUAUUGAUCGGACAAGAUCUUUCUCGGAGGUUCUCGGAUGUAUACGCCAAAAAAUAUCCUGGAAAUUUCCGAAUCCGUGAGAUUUUCCUGGAUAUUCGUAUAUGACAAAGCCUAGGAAAAUCUAUGAACGAUGGACGCUUUCGAUAUGUUUUUUAUCAUCGGGUUCUUAGGUCCCGCGGUCGCAAUUUCCCGUACGCCGAGGCUCGAGAAUUACGAAUCCAAUUUCCGAGGUGAGACCUAAUAUAUUAUUCUUUUCCUCAAUAAAAGAGAAAUAGAGAGAAAGGGGGGGGAGGGACAGGUGUCCAAAAUUUGUGGUGUAUUGUACGAGCUGGUAUUUUUUCGGUGUUCCGCGGCGAUAGAGUGUAAAAUUAGCGACAAGUAAUAUGCAUAAAAAAAAAAAAGAAAAGAUGGAGACCGCGGUCGUCGUCGGUAUACAUAGAGGUAUUUACGUAAGCGGCGUCGUAAUGUGUAUAGAUAAAUAAUUUUGGGAAAGCGACGCGCGAAUGCCGUGACGAUGAUGUUACUACCGCAUGACGAAUAAUAACACGAUUAAUUAUUAUUAACGAUUAUUAUAAUUAAAUAUUGUCCCGAUUAUUAUUAGAGAGAGAGACGUAUGGAGAUUUAUUACUGCGACCACGAAAGCUCGCAAAGAAGAAAAAAAAAACUUUGAUCUUUUAUCGCAAGGA
This 4006-nucleotide long non-coding RNA is filed under the name Pogonomyrmex barbatus (red harvester ant). RNAcentral describes it as "uncharacterized LOC105425916". The record is from RNAcentral. Lineage: Eukaryota; Metazoa; Arthropoda; Insecta; Hymenoptera; Formicidae.